CCUCAGAGUAAGAGGAGAAAAAGGCCAAGGGUGGUAGAGCAUUUAGGAGUCUCAAUAUGUAAAGGGUGGUUGGAGUUUCAAAGAGCUGAGAAAGAACUUGAUGAGGGAUGGCAGAGAGGUAGGAAGAUCAGGAAAGUGAUGUCCUUUCCAAGGGAGAGAGCUGUGAGAAGAGAAUGGCAACGUGUUGAAAGCUGCAUAGAGGCCAUGUGCAUGGGGAAAGCAGGCUCUGGCAGCCAGAUAAAGUCCUCAUGUAAAGACAGGAGAUGGCAGCUGGAAGUUGGAUGAAAGUGAUGAAAAUGUUUGCAUUACUUUAAGAGGACAAUGAUACACAUUCAUGAAGCAACGUUAUGUAGGGCUCUAAGAGUGUGUAAUAGGGACAUUUUACCCAGUCAGGAGAUCAAGGGAGGGUGCCCUGAGGAGGUGACAUUUGAGCUAAGAUGGGCGGAAUGAAAAAGAGACACUGAAGAAUGAGCUGUGGAAGGAACAGAGAGUUAGAAGCUAGAAAACUACAUGGAGAACCAUACAACUGCGGUGUCAUAAAAGGAAACCACCUUUCUCCCCUUUGGAGGAAAACAAGAAGAGCCUCUGGCAAGUGGUGUGGAUAGAAUCAGCAAGUCCGUAUUCAGCCUUCAUCUCAAUAAUUUCUGCAACUCUGGGCAAUAUACCUGAUUUUAGGAAAGCAGUGGGAAAAUCAAUAUCUUGAAGCUUGCAACCAAUAAAAUACCAGAAGUGGCAAUUUCA
Molecule: long non-coding RNA, 741 nt
Organism: Symphalangus syndactylus (siamang)
Lineage: Eukaryota; Metazoa; Chordata; Mammalia; Primates; Hylobatidae
Source: RefSeq, a predicted model, not a curated record